GACGAACGCUGGCGGCGUGCUUAACACAUGCAAGUCGAACGAUGAAGCCUAGCUUGCUAGGUGGAUUAGUGGCGAACGGGUGAGUAAUACGUGAGUGACCUACCUUUGACUCUGGGAUAAGCCUGGGAAACUGGGUCUAAUACCGGAUACGACCAAUCUCCGCAUGGGGUGUUGGUGGAAAGCGUUAUGGAGUGGUUUUAGAUGGGCUCACGGCCUAUCAGCUUGUUGGUGAGGUAAUGGCUUACAAAGGCGACGACGGGUAGCCGGCCUGAGAGGGUGACCGGCCACACUGGGACUGAGACACGGCCCAGACUCCUACGGGAGGCAGCAGUGGGGAAUAUUGCACAAUGGGCGCAAGCCUGAUGCAGCGACGCCGCGUGAGGGAUGACGGCCUUCGGGUUGUAAACCUCUGUUAGCAUCGAAGAAGCGAAAGUGACGGUAGGUGCAGAGAAAGCGCCGGCUAACUACGUG
Molecule: ribosomal RNA, 471 nt
Filed under: uncultured bacterium
Lineage: Bacteria
Description: partial 16S ribosomal RNA
Rfam family: Bacterial small subunit ribosomal RNA
Source: RNAcentral